AGGGGAGUAGCUCAGUUGGUAGAGCAUCGGUCUCCAAAACCGAGGGUCGCAGGUUCGAGCCCUGUCUCCCCUG
This 73-nucleotide transfer RNA is filed under the name Bacteroidota bacterium. RNAcentral's name for it is "tRNA-Trp". It matches the Rfam family "tRNA". From Rfam's summary of the family: Transfer RNA (tRNA) molecules are approximately 80 nucleotides in length. Their secondary structure includes four short double-helical elements and three loops (D, anti-codon, and T loops). RNAcentral also lists the same sequence under 1 other name. The record is from RNAcentral. Lineage: Bacteria; Pseudomonadati; Bacteroidota.